GGUUCCGUAAUUCAGUGGUAGAAUGCCUGCUUUACAUUGUGAAUAAUGAUCGCAGUAUGUCGCGGGUUCGAUCCCCGUCGGGAUCA
This 86-nucleotide transfer RNA is filed under the name Puccinia triticina. Its description in RNAcentral is "tRNA-Val". It matches the Rfam family "tRNA". Rfam says of the family: Transfer RNA (tRNA) molecules are approximately 80 nucleotides in length. The record is from RNAcentral. Lineage: Eukaryota; Fungi; Basidiomycota; Pucciniomycetes; Pucciniales; Pucciniaceae. RNAcentral also lists the same sequence under 1 other name.